AAAUUGUUAGUGGCAGACGGGUGAGUAAUGCGUAGGAAUCUACCUAGUAGUACGGAAUAGCCAUUAGAAAUGGUGGGUAAUACUGUAUAAUCCCCGAGGGGGAAAGAUUUAUCGCUAUUAGAUGAGCCUACGUUAGAUUAGCUAGUUGGUGAGGUAAUGGCUUACCAAGGCUAUGAUCUAUAGCUGGUCUGAGAGGACGAUCAGCCACACUGGAACUGAGAUACGGUCCAGACUCCUACGGGAGGCAGCAGUGGGGAAUAUUGGACAAUGGGCGAAAGCUGAUCCAGCUAUGCCGCGUGAGUGAAGAAGGCCUUCGGGUUGUAAAACUCUUUCAAUAGGGAAGAUAAUGACGGUACCUAUAGAAGAAGUCCCGGCAAACUCUGUGCCAGCAGCCGCGGUAAUACGGAGGGGGCAAGCGUU
This 420-nucleotide ribosomal RNA is filed under the name Ehrlichia sp. RNAcentral's name for it is "bacterial SSU rRNA". It matches the Rfam family "Bacterial small subunit ribosomal RNA", at positions 86 to 542 of the family's 1533-position model. The record is from RNAcentral. Lineage: Bacteria; Pseudomonadati; Pseudomonadota; Alphaproteobacteria; Rickettsiales; Anaplasmataceae.